This 468-nucleotide ribosomal RNA is filed under the name uncultured bacterium. RNAcentral's name for it is "partial 16S ribosomal RNA". It matches the Rfam family "Bacterial small subunit ribosomal RNA", at positions 28 to 507 of the family's 1533-position model. The record is from RNAcentral.
GACGAACGCUGGCGGCGUGCUUAACACAUGCAAGUCGAACGGAAAGGCCCUGCUUUUGGGGGGUGCUCGAGUGGCGACCGGGUGAGUAACACGUGAGUAACCUGCCCUUGCCUUUGGGAUAACUUCAGGAAACUGGGGCUAAUACCGGAUAGGAGCUCCUGCUGCAUGGUGGGGGUGGGAAAGUUUCGGCGGUUGGGGAUGGACUCGCGGCUUAUCAGCUUGUUGGUGGGGUAGUGGCUUACCAAGGCUUUGACGGGUAGCCGGCCUGAGAGGGUGACCGGCCACAUUGGGACUGAGAUACGGCCCAGACUCCUACGGGAGGCAGCAGUGGGGAAUAUUGCACAAUAGGCGGAAGCCUGAUGCAGCAACGCCGCGUGCGGGAUGACGGCCUUCGGGUUGUAAACCGCUUUCGCCUGUGACGAAGCGUGAGUGACGGUAAUGGGUAAAGAAGCACCGGCUAACUACGUG